Molecule: ribosomal RNA, 301 nt
Filed under: uncultured bacterium
Lineage: Bacteria
Description: partial 16S ribosomal RNA
Rfam family: Bacterial small subunit ribosomal RNA
Source: RNAcentral
CAGUCGCCACGGUAAAACGGAGGAUCCAAGCGUUAUCCGGAAUCAUUGGGUUUAAAGGGUCCGUAGGCGGUCUUGUAAGUCAGUGGUGAAAGCCCAUCGCUCAACGGUGGAACGGCCAUUGAUACUGCAGGACUUGAAUUAUUGGGAAGUAACUAGAAUAUGUAGUGUAGCGGUGAAAUGCUUAGAGAUUACAUGGAAUACCAAUUGCGAAGGCAGGUUACUACCAAUUGAUUGACGCUGAUGGACGAAAGCGUGGGUAGCGAACAGGAUUAGAUACCCCCGUAGUCCCUGUCUCUUAUAC